AGUAUAUGGCCACAGGUAUCUUUCCUUCCAUUCUUUACUUUGUUCAAGUUCAUAAAAAAAUUCAUUCUCCACUAUGUGCAUUAACUAUCAGCAUUCUAAUCAAUCAAUUGCUUGUGCAUUGGUUAAAAUGCUUGUCCAUUUGAUAUGAAUUAUGGUUUUUACCUACUUGUAUCUCACUUUGUUUCUUUCUUAUGAAGGUCAUCUA
This 205-nucleotide unclassified non-coding RNA is filed under the name Hevea brasiliensis (rubber tree). The record is from RNAcentral. Lineage: Eukaryota; Viridiplantae; Streptophyta; Magnoliopsida; Malpighiales; Euphorbiaceae.